This is a long non-coding RNA of Parus major (Great Tit), 5216 nucleotides long. RefSeq lists it as uncharacterized. The record is from RefSeq and is a predicted model, not a curated record. The transcript is spliced from 3 exons. NCBI's taxonomy places the organism in Eukaryota, Metazoa, Chordata, Aves, Passeriformes, Paridae.
AAGGGUUCCUGUUGGGAAACCAUAUUUAAAACAAACCAAAAAAGCCACAGGACCACGGCCACCAUGGUGGGGCGGCUCUCGGGUUCACCCCCCCACUAAUGACUGACGGCUGGUGCCACUGAGACAAAUAAAUACAUCGUAAGGAGGGCAAUGGGUCGCGAGUCGUUUUGGCCCUAAGAUCGGAGACGGGAGAAAUGAAAACCGGCAGAAAAAGGACUCGGGAGAACGGAGGAAUGAAAAAGUGCCCCUCGAAAAUCCACUGGGAAGGCCACGAAUGGACAGCGAGCGAAAGCUGGAAAAACGCGUUUUCAAGACUCCCAUGGAAAAUAAAAGCGAGAGCGCCUAGGAGCGGUGUCACGGCAGAAGGGACAGAACCCUGCCGGAAGAUCGCGGUGACACAUUCCCGAGGGAGCGCGGUCGGGCAGCGCGGUGGCGAGCACCCCUUUCCUGCAAGGGACCUAAAACUGGACUCGGGGAAAGCUUGGGAGAAAUCCCUCCAGCUCCCUCCCUCUCGCCUCCUCCUGCCCCAAGAACAGCUCCUGUUUUACCGACCCGGCAGUCCAGCCCAUGGGAUGCUCCAAGCCGGACCCGCGUCCCCAUCCUCGGCCGGCUCCCCCUUCCCCGGAGCCGCUCCGCUCGUGCCUUCAGUGGAGGCAGCAGAUACGGGGGGAAAAGCACCACUGGCUUUUUCUCUCGACCUUAUUCCCUUGAUAACUUUAUUUUGUGAGUGGUGCUCGGGCGGCUCGAAAGGAAAUAAAGCUUGAAAGGACAUCGGAAAGGAGAGAAGCCGGAGGCAGAGCGGGGCUGCCCAGGGAGGGGAGGGGGUCGGGGUGUCCGUGGGGUCGGGUCGGCUUCGCAUAGCCCAGCCCGCUCGGUGAUGGUUUGGUUUUUAUUUCAGUGCCUUCUCUGGGAAGGAUUUCAUGUGGGAGAGGGAGGAAAAGCUUAGUUUGGUGAGACCAAGGUGAAAUUCAGCAGGAAUUAUGGCCGCGGUUACCUGCGCUAAAGGUCGAACUCUGUUUCGGCUGAGAGCGUUUAGAAAUACAAUAAUGAUUAAGUAUUUAUUCUAGAAUAAUCAAAUCAUGAAAAAUAAAAAAGCAAGAAACCAAAGAAGAAAAGAAAGAAAAGAAGAUGGAUUAGAACAGGAAAAGCCCAAAGGUGGUGUCUGCGAGGCGGCUGCGGGUUCCAGCAGCCACAAAGGAGCGGUGGCAGAUGAGGAACGCGCAGCUCCAGAGCCCCGCAGAAGCUCCGAGCCCCGGCCCGGCCUCAGGGCUCACCCUGCCCGCAGCAGCCCCGGCGUCGGGGCGAGAGGAUGGGGCCAAGAGCUCAAACAGAGCCUUGGACGGCCACUUCCAGCUCAAGGGCUUCGCCUCGCCGUGUUUUUACACGCCUUAAUUGUUCCCUAAUAAUGCGGGGUUUGAGGAGAAGCACGUGGGAAGUUUGGGGCUGGCUGGAAAAAAAAAAUCAAAACACUAAAACAAAAAUGCCAACAAGAAAAGCCCCAAGGCAUCACCCUGAGGGGAUGGAUCCCUGGGAACCGCUGGUUUUUUCCUCCCCACUCGCAACCAAGACUUCAGGUGCGAAGGGGGAUGGUUGCGCGGCGGGGCGGGCUGCGGGAGAGGCCGGCGGCUCAGGGCGAUCCCGCGGUGCGAACCCUCUGAUCCCCGGGCUGGAAUUUCCUGCUGGGGGUCUCUUCACUCCCCCGGGACGUGUCUGUACCGUGGGGAAGAGGAUGAAGGCUCGGGGUUGCCCCCGCGUCCCCGUGGACGGGAGUUUCUCUGCGAAGCGCGGCUGGAGGUGCCGAAGGAGGGAGGUUUCCCCCCCCAGAUGAUUCCAAGCCCGCCGUCCCGGCGCCUGCAGCGCGGAUCCGCCCGGCCCCUGUCGCUCCCGACCCGGGUGACAGGGACCGGGGGGCAGCGGGGCGCUCCCCGCACGCUGCCAAGAGCCUCGAGGCGAUCGCCACAUCGGCCCCUUUACCCUCCCGAGAUAACAAACAACAGCUCCGGUCGGCCGGCCGUCCCCGCGUCCGUCCGUCCGUCCGUCCGUCUCUCAGCCCCGGCCAGGGCCGCGCGUGGAGCAGCUCGCUCCGGCCACCCCCUGGCAGCGGCCCUCGGCCGGGGGGUGCCGCAGAGAUGGGGGCAGUGCCCCCCGCACAGCCACGGGCACUCUCGGGGGCUCGGAGCUCGCCCCAUUUUGAGAAGCCCCCGUCCGAGAGUGGCCCCGAGCCCUCUGCCCAGGCUCCCAGCCGGGAGGGUGUGUGCGCUCCUGCAGACACGCGGCUGCUAAAUUUCAAGCAACUCCUCUAUAUUUUUUAAUUUUCCCCCUUUUUCUUUCCUUUCCCCUUCUCCCAAACCCUCUUUCUGCCUUCCCAAAAUCGUUUCCCGGUGCAAUCCUGCAGCCCGAGGUGAGGGAGGAGGCGGGAUGGUCCCUGCUUCCAAGACUUUUACGAACAAUCGUUAAAGAAAUCAACGGGGUUUUUUUAUUAUUUUUAUUUUUAUUUUAUUUUUCCUCUUCCCUUGUGCAGAGGCCGGAGAGGUCCCUUUGAUCUGCGAGGCCUGGCGUGCUCCGAUCCCGCACGCCGGCUGUGUGCGGGGAGGGGGCUUGGCUGCCGCGGGAGCCUCCGAGACGGGACAUGAAAGGGGGGAAGGAAAAAAAAUAUUAAAAAAAAAAAAAAAAAAAAAAAGGACGUCCAGGGUACGGGAGAUCGACCGAAGGGCUUAAAUAUUUCAUAUUCCUGGAAGCUGUCAAGGCCAAAAACAACAACACGCCUCCCGCCUCCCCCGGAGUGUUUGCAGAGGGCAGGAGCGUGUGUGCGUGCGAGGGGCCGGGAGGCUGCGGGGGGAGGGGGGAAAGAGAGAGAGGGUCAUAAAUUUUCACUUGUAAUCAAUCAAUAAUUAACUAAUAGCGGAGCGUGGGCCGAGCGCGCCGGCGGCGGCGGUGCCCGGCCCGCCGGGGUGUCGGUGUCGCGCUGUCCCCCGGGGCGCUGCGGCUCCGGGGAGCGCUCCGCGCUUCUCCCCCGCUCCAUCCCGGCGGGGCGGCCGCGGCCCCGCUUUCCCAGAGACUUUGGACUCGGGGCUAAAAUCUCCCGUGGGUAAAACGCAGCUCGGCUCCGAGCGGAGCCUGCGGGGAGCUGCUCCGCGCUGCCCGGCCGGGCUGCGGGCUCCGGGCUCACCCCAGCACGCCCCGAGAUCCCGCUCCGUGCGCUCCGUGCCCCCUCCCGCGGACCGCGGCUCCCUUCGGGGGUCUCGGGGCGCUGCCCGGGCUGCCCGAGAGGUGGCGCCGGCGCCCCGCAGGAGCCCCCCCGCCGCCGGCCACCCCCGCCCAGCGCCGGGUCGCCUGCAUCAGCCAUAAAACCAUUGAGGAUAUCAAGACAGGCGCCAGGUGUAACUGACUGGGAAAGCCAAAUCCUCUGCCCGGACAGGAGAGGAAAACGAGCCCGGCAACAGCAUCAACUCCUGAGCACUUUACCUGGAAACUUUGAAGGAGGGCUCUGCAUUAAAAUUUAACCGAUCUAUUCUCUAAUUCUUCACUUUUGCGUUAUUAAUUUAUGACAGAUAAAAGCAUAGCUGAGCCUUUCUCAUUAACUUUUCAAACGCCACUUAAUAUUGUUCCAUUAAAAGAGGUGACUUUAGCAGCCUCUGGAUCGACUUUAAAAGCGAGAGGGAUAAAGACGGAAAAGGUACAUUAAACAGCUUGCUUAAAACUCGUCCUUCCCCCCCCAACAAUUCAAAUGACACCAUCUCGACUGGUUCGUACUGGCUCCUUCCAGGAGAAAUAACUUAAUAUUGGGAAUGGAAAAGGGGUGGAGGAGAAAGGCAGAACAGGGAUAUAUAUCUUUCAACCCCUCCAUCCUCCCAGGCACUUCGGGGAGGGUUGGGGUGAAGGCAUUUCACAGUACGCCCAAGACAUUUCAAUAAAAAUUUAUUGAAACUUCAGUGACUUUUAAAAGGGAGGGGAAAAAAAUUACAGAAAAAAAAAAUUAGCAAGAACUUCUCAACAUUUAUAUAACACAAAAUAUACCUUCAUUUUUUUUUUCUUUGAACCAGCUCUGAGCACCUGACUUUCAACCCAAGAAAAUAUGCACUCACUCAAAACAAAGACAACAAUAAGCACAGUAGUAAAACUCCAUCGCGGGGUUGUUUUCUGACACACCGAAGAAACGGGCAAAAAUAAUAGAAAGUAAAAAAAAUCCUAGAAUCUUCACUUAUUUUUUUUUUUCUCUCAAGCCACUGGAGAAGCCUGUUGUCGGGUAUAAAUGUAGAUAAUUUCGUGGUUGUUGACAUUUUGAACACUGAAGAAACCGAGGAUUAAAAGCUACCAUGGCACUCUGCUUUGUCUUUUUCUGAUUUUUUUUAAGGACUUUGAUUAAUUUGGUUUCUUUCUGCUUUGCCUUUUGCAUUCUGCUCCUUGACCAAAGGACGAGGUUUCCCUGGGCUGAGCUCUGAUUUAAAAACUGAGCCCUCACAAAUGGGGGGAUUUCUCCUCCGGGUCGGGACCUAUGUUUAAAGGAAUUACCAACUUGAAAUGAAAACGACUAAAAAUAAAAACAGAAGGAAAAAAAGAAGACGGCUGCAGUCGUAUUUACAGAGAUAUGUACAAUGUCAAUAAAUUAAAGUUUAAUUUCGAGUAUUCAUAUUCCACGUAUUUACAAGAGUUAUCAAAUAAUUACAUAAAUACUUUGUUUUAAUAAUAGUGUCCGCUCUUUUCUUCUUCUCAGUAUGUUAAACCUUGUUAUUGCAUAUACAAUUAAAGAGGGAAAGCUGUGAUAAAUCUACAGUCGAGCUACAGACGUUUUUAGAUAAAAUAAAUUCACUUUUUUUUUUCUUUCCAACUACACUUCUUAUUUUUGUUGCUACAAGGGAGGAUGUUUAAGGUAGAGGGACAAAGGUCUUAUUUUUGUUUUUAUUAUUAUUAAUAAUAAUUUUUUCCCUGGGAUUUGAAACGAGCAUUAAAAAUAAACAACAAAACCCCACUGAAAUAAAAAAUACCACCACCCCCCCUCAAAAAAAAAAAUUAAAAAAAAAAGCAGACUACUCUGGAACAUGCAAAAAAAAAAAAGAAAAAGCCACCAACUGGCUCUCAGACAUCACAAUAAUAUUUUAAACACACAGCUUCCCUUAAUAUCGACUGAGGGGGUUGUGGUUAACAACCUGCCCAGGAAACAACUGUUGAAGAACCAAUACAUGAGUUACACACUUUUCUUUCGGAGAAAAAAAAAA